This 1051-nucleotide long non-coding RNA is filed under the name Felis catus (domestic cat). RNAcentral's name for it is "lncRNA (ENSFCAG00000046649.2)". Lineage: Eukaryota; Metazoa; Chordata; Mammalia; Carnivora; Felidae. The record is from RNAcentral.
AUGAGCCGUGCCCAGCAUCUAGCAUCUGGAACGCUCGGCCGUCUCAGGAGGACUGUGCUAGAGGCAGGGACAAGGACCGAAUGCGUCUUUCUCACGGUCCAUCACAAACAUCACAGUAUCGACGUCAACAGCUGCCACGGCCGAAACGGGAGAACGAGGUGGGGACUGCUACUUCUGCACACGGUGUGGCCGCUCCGCUCUCUCCGGGAAGUCACGGCCAGCAGGUUCCACGGGGGGCAGGGCUCCACACGCACCCAGCUGCCCCACAAGAGCGGAGGGCCUGUUGACGAAAUCGGCAGCAAGCUGAUUGAGGCGUUGGGGUGGCCGCUAACACUGGGAGCAAGCUUCGCUGCCGGGCCUGCAAGUGGGAAACGCAUCGUCGAAAUGCCUUCAGCCUUGGUCCCAGUGCCAUCUUUCCAGAAACGUACACGUGUGUGUGUGGUAUCCAAGUACUCCUUAUGAUGAAUUCAUCCACUCAACAAAUACGAACGGAGUGCCUCUGACAGCUGUCAUUCCAGGCAGCCCCUGCUCAGAGCGUGGUGUGCGAGGACGAAUCCCGUGGUUUCGUGGUUUUACGAUUCUGGCUGAACAUCCAGAAUGGAAAGUCACACAACCGUGUCAGUAUUUAGGCAAUCCCGCUUCGGGGUAUUUACCCCCAGAUCAUCGAAAGCAGGGACUCUACGAGCUAUUUGUACGCCCAUGCUUGUAGCAGAAUUAUCCACAGCACCCAGAAGGUAGACACAACCCAAACGUCCAUUGACAAAUAAGUGGAAAAACCAAAUAGGACAUGUACACACAAUGGGAUAUUACUCGGCUUUAAAAAGGCAAAAAAUUCAGGGCGCCUGGGUGGCUCAGUCCGUUAAACAUCCGACUUCAGCUCAGGACAUGAUCUCGUGGCUCGUUAGUUCUAGCCCCGCGUCGGGCUCUGUGCUGACAGCUCAGAGCCUGGAGCCCGCUUCGGAUUCUGUGUCUCCCUCUCUCUCUGCCCCUCCCCUGCUCACACUCUGUCUCUCCAUCUCUCAAAGAUAAAUAAACAUUUUUUAAAAAGGCA